Molecule: ribosomal RNA, 1203 nt
Filed under: Triticum aestivum (bread wheat)
Lineage: Eukaryota; Viridiplantae; Streptophyta; Magnoliopsida; Poales; Poaceae
Description: partial small subunit ribosomal RNA
Source: RNAcentral
AUGGCUGAACCGCUGAAAGCUCACAUUCAACAUCCUCCUUUUUUGUUUCAGGAAAACGAGCUGCAUUGUGACCUCCUCCGCGUCGCCUCCCCGCUCCGCUCUCUCCUCGCCACGGCGCCCUACGCGCCCCCGGAGGGCUCCGACACCUCCGUCAAAUCCCUCCUCGCCUCACUCCUCCCGUCCCCCUCUGAACCCCCGACGGGCGGGGCCGGCAAGGAGGCCGUGGACCUCCUCCUCUUCUGCGCCACCGCCCGCGCGGCCUCCGCGGAGGCCCCCGCGCUGCACUGGGUCCCGGAGGGGCUCUCCAAGGCGGCCGCCGCAGCCAUGGAGGAGAUGGCGGCGAUGGGCGGGUGGGCCGGCAUCGGCGAGAUGUUGGUGGCCAUGAUGCCGGAGGCAGUGCUGCCGCUGAAGGCCGUGCUGAAGGACACGAGCGUGGACGCCAAUGAUGCCAUGAUGAUGGUUGGCGCCGUGAAGCCGCCCAAGGAGCACGCCUUUGUCGCUGCGCACCAGUUCCGUUGGCUGUUGUCUCAGGUUAAUUACCCCAAGCUUGGCGAUCUGUGCUGGUUAGUCAUUCCAUGUGCUUUGACGGCAUUGGAUCAUUGGUCACCGGAUGUUAAGAAUGUGAAAGUAACAGAAUUAAGUUUGUAUGAAGAUGCAAUACUGGAUGCUUGUUGCCAUAACAUUCCUGCAGAUGAUGAGUUAUAUGGUAUCGUGUUAUUGAGGUACGACCGCGUACUUUCUGAGAUGUUGGGACACCUGGAACGGCAACCACUAAACAAAGAACGUCGUGUUGCAUGGCUUACCCUUAUCGGGCCAGUUUUGGAUGCUAUGGGCCUCUUCCUGUUGGCACAUUUUCGUCUCCUGUUCUCUCUAUUUUUCCAAUGGAUGCAUGCUGAUGAUGAUAGAACAGUUCUUCUGGUGUUAGAGCGAAUUCAUAUAGUUAUUAAGCUCACCUGGAUCAGGAAGUCGCCCUACACUUCAAGACUGGUGGAUGAGCUUGUUCUUUUGUAUAAGGAGUCGGCCAUGAGAAAGAGCCAUGAGAUCAUGCGAAAUCACAUAAUGGAUAUACUCAUGCUACUCCAGAAAUGCAAGGGACAGCAGUUUGAGGAAGCUUGGAAGAAGCAUGAAGCUGACCCAGAUUUAACAUUGCUGCUAUCCCGUUUCAAACAACUUUGCACCGGAGAUCAUUCGCCAGAAUUCUGA